AUGGCCCCGGCGUCAAGGCCGCUCGCGCCUCCUCUGUCCCGUCGCCAGGAUCGCGCGUUCAAAGUCCCUGUCUCCAGCGCCGCCGCACCUUGGCAAGACUUGGUGGCUUCGUCCUCCUCUGAACCCCGCCGUCCUCGUCUUCUUGCGCGACCAGCCGCCUCGACAGCGCCCGAAGCAUGGACUCCCGCUGCCGAUGCCGCUGAGCUCCUCUACCACCAAAACGGACUCCCCACGUGCAGAUCUGACAACCCUCGCCUGCAUCCGCCUGUUCCCGGCCAUGCACCGUCGUCCUUCACGCCGGAUCUCGCGUCGCCGGCUGAUUUUUUCCCCUGCUGCUUUGCCCACGUGAGGUGA
Molecule: ribosomal RNA, 354 nt
Filed under: Triticum aestivum (bread wheat)
Lineage: Eukaryota; Viridiplantae; Streptophyta; Magnoliopsida; Poales; Poaceae
Description: partial small subunit ribosomal RNA
Source: RNAcentral